RNAcentral lists this long non-coding RNA (847 nucleotides) under Lactuca sativa (garden lettuce). RNAcentral describes it as "long non-coding RNA (LSAT_LNC009946)". The record is from RNAcentral. Lineage: Eukaryota; Viridiplantae; Streptophyta; Magnoliopsida; Asterales; Asteraceae.
CAUUGAUGACAUAUGGGUCAUUGGUCAACAUGGUGUAUUUACUUAUGGUGGCCAUGGAUGACAUAUGGGUCAUUGGUCAACAUGGUGUGUAGUUGCUUAUGUUGGUCAACUAGGUGUAGUUGCUUAUGGUGUCCAUGGAUGACAUAAGGGUCAUUAGUUAACAUGGUGUAGUUACUUAUGGUGUCCAUGGAUGACAUAUGGGUUAUUGGUCAACAUGGUAGUUGCUUAUAGUGUCCAUGGAUGUUAUAUGGGUCAUUGGUCAACAAGGUGUAGUUGCUUAUGGUGUCCAUGGAUGACAUAUGCUUCAUUGGUCAACAUGGUGUAGUUUCUUAUGGUGUCCAUGAAUGACAUAUGGGUCAUUGGUCAACAUGGUGUAGUUGCUUAUGGUGUCCAUUGAUGACAUAUGGGUCAUUGGUCAACAUGUAGUUGCUUGUGGUGUCCAUUGAUAACAUAUGGGUCAUUAGUCAACAUGGUGUAUUUGCUUAUGGUGUUCAUGGAUGACAUAUAGGUCAUUGGUCAACAUGGUGUGUAGUUGCUUAUGUUGGUAACCAUGGUGUAGUUGCUUAUGGUGUCCAUGGAUGACAUACGGUUCAUUGGUCAACAUGGUAGUUGCUUAUGGUGUGAUGGUAUCACCCAUGGAUAACAUAUAGGCAAUUGGUCAACAUGUAGUUGCUUAUGGUUUCCACGUAUGACAUAUGUGUCAUUGGUCAACAUGGUAGUUGGUUAUGGUGUCCAUGGAUGACGUAUAGGUCAUUAGUCAACAUGGUGUAGUUGCUUUUGGUGUCCAUGGAUAACAUAUAGGUCAUUGGUCAACAUGGUAGUUGCUUAUGGUGUCCAUGUAUGACAU